RNAcentral lists this ribosomal RNA (520 nucleotides) under uncultured Entrophospora. RNAcentral describes it as "SSU rRNA". It matches the Rfam family "Eukaryotic small subunit ribosomal RNA", at positions 569 to 1084 of the family's 1831-position model. The record is from RNAcentral. Lineage: Eukaryota; Fungi; Glomeromycota; Glomeromycetes; Entrophosporales; Entrophosporaceae.
AGCAGCCGCGGUAAUUCCAGCUCCAAUAGCGUAUAUUAAAGUUGUUGCAGUUAAAAAGCUCGUAGUUGAAUUUCGGGAUUGACACAUCGGUCGUGCCUUAAGGGGUGUGAACUGGUGUAGUCAAUUUCUCACCUUCUGGAGAACCGCGAUGUCCUUAAUUGGGUGCCGCGAGGAACCAGGACCUUUACUUUGAAAAGAUUAGAGUGUUUAAAGCAGGCAUUUUUGCUUGAAUACAUUAGCAUGGAAUAAUAAAAUAGGACGGCAUGAUUCUAUUUUGUUGGUUUCUAGGAUCACCGUAAUGAUUAAUAGGGAUAGUUGGGGGCAUUAGUAUUCAAUUGUCAGAGGUGAAAUUCUUGGAUUUAUUGAAGACUAACUACUGCGAAAGCAUUUGCCAAGGAUGUUUUCAUUAAUCAAGAACGAAAGUUAGGGGAUCGAAGACGAUCAGAUACCGUCGUAGUCUUAACCAUAAACUAUGCCGACUAGGAAUCAGACGAUGUAAUUUUUUAAUGACUCGUUUGGC